This is a non-coding RNA of Oryctolagus cuniculus (rabbit), 45 nucleotides long. The record is from Rfam. Lineage: Eukaryota; Metazoa; Chordata; Mammalia; Lagomorpha; Leporidae.
CCAAAGGCUCUUUUCAGAGCCACCACGGCGUCCACGAAAGGACUG